UCAGGAUGAACGCUGGCGGCGUGCCUAAUACAUGCAAGUCGAGCGAACCACUUCGGUGGUGAGCGGCGAACGGGUGAGUAACACGUAGGUGAUCUGCCCAUCAGACGGGGACAACGAUUGGAAACGAUCGCUAAUACCGGAUAGGACGAAAGUUUAAAGGUGCUUCUGGCACCGCUGAUGGAUGAGCCUGCGGCGCAUUAGCUAGUUGGUAGGGUAAAGGCCUACCAAGGCGACGAUGCGUAGCCGACCUGAGAGGGUGAACGGCCACACUGGGACUGAGACACGGCCCAGACUCCUACGGGAGGCAGCAGUAGGGAAUCUUCGGCAAUGGGCGAAAGCCUGACCGAGCAACGCCGCGUGAAUGAUGAAGGCCUUCGGGUUGUAAAAUUCUGUUAUAAGGGAAGAACGACUUUAGUAGGAAAUGGCUAGAGUGUGACGGUACCUUAUGAGAAAGCCACGGCUAACUACGUGCCAGCAGCCGCGGUAAUACGUAGGUGGCGAGCGUUAUCCGGAAUUAUUGGGCGUAAAGAGCGCGCAGGUGGUUGAUUAAGUCUGAUGUGAAAGCCCACGGCUUAACCGUGGAGGGUCAUUGGAAACUGGUCGACUUGAGUGCA
RNAcentral lists this ribosomal RNA (614 nucleotides) under uncultured bacterium. RNAcentral's name for it is "bacterial SSU rRNA". It matches the Rfam family "Bacterial small subunit ribosomal RNA", at positions 24 to 650 of the family's 1533-position model. The record is from RNAcentral.